This is a non-coding RNA of Paramuricea clavata, 311 nucleotides long. The record is from the annotation of a GenBank genome assembly. NCBI's taxonomy places the organism in Eukaryota, Metazoa, Cnidaria, Anthozoa, Malacalcyonacea, Plexauridae.
GCAUGAUUACAAUUCUAAUUUUAAACAGCCAACGACGUUUCAUUGUAAGGGUCCGACCAUUUAACUUUUUUUCCUAUCCCAUCACCCUGUACGAUUCUUUUUUGCCACUCUCUCUUUCGCAGCAUUUUUUUUCAAUAGCUUAUUUAUUUACUAUUUGGAUUCCGUUUAAUUAUAGUUAACGUUGAGUUUUUUAGCUUCAUGCAUUGCUUUUAAUAAUACAUAUUGCUAUGAGGUAUAACAUUUGGUUCAGGGCCUCUUUUAAGGAUGUGUAACCUGUAGAGAAGUCUGGGGGCAUGCCCCCAGAAAAUUUA